GGCUCACCAUCUUCUGAUCGGCCCACCUAACUGCUUCCUCUUGUACUCGUGCGUGCGCGUGCGCGUGCGUGCGUGCGCGUGCGCGUGCACGUGCGUGCGUGCGGGGUCGUGUGAUUUCCCUCCUCCAGCGAGGAGCGCCCCACUCAGUCCUUCCGGCUGGCCCCUGACUCCACGUUACUUCUCGUGUAUUCCAGGCAUCAGAAUCACGCGGGACUGUCUGCCAAAUACCAAUCCCCAGGCCCCGCUCCAGAUUAAGACGUCCUUAAUCUGCCUCCUGGGAGGCAAGAGGAGGGUCCCUCCCGCGAAUCAGGGUUUUCGUAAGCACCCCAGAUUCUUCCGAAGGUGUGGCCAUGUGACUAAGUCCUGUAAAGGCAGUACAAGUGUCACAAGGCUGCUAUCGAUGACGCUUUGUCCCCUUUUCUGUCAUUUCCCCCUCCGUCCUACGCCAAGAACGUGGCCCAGGUGGCCGGCAUCUCACACCGGGAAAGACAAGACUGGGGCUGCCGGAGUCCCUGAGGGAUCUGUGAGCAAAGUCGCCAUGGCCGCCCCACCCUGUCUACAUCAGGCUCGCAGGUGAAAGAAAAAUAAACUUCUUAUCUUAUGUCAGCCGUUAAAAAAAAAAUCUCCGUGCCCAGGCUGCAUCUCA
Felis catus (domestic cat) is the source of this 646-nucleotide long non-coding RNA. RefSeq lists it as uncharacterized. Lineage: Eukaryota; Metazoa; Chordata; Mammalia; Carnivora; Felidae. The transcript is spliced from 2 exons. The record is from RefSeq and is a predicted model, not a curated record.